Otolemur garnettii (small-eared galago) is the source of this 290-nucleotide non-coding RNA. NCBI's taxonomy places the organism in Eukaryota, Metazoa, Chordata, Mammalia, Primates, Galagidae. The record is from Rfam.
GCUGGGUGCAGUGGUCUACACCUGUAGCCUCAGAUACUAGAAAGGCGGAGACAGAAGGAUUAUAGGGGCCCAUGAGUUCCAGGCUGUCAUGUGUUAAGUGUGUCCACACAUAGGGUGUCCACACUAAGUCCAGAAUCAAUAUGGUGAUCAUCAGGUUGCCUACGGAGAGAUGAACCAGCCCAGGUUGGAAAUGGAGCAGGUCAAAACUCUUGUGCUAACCAGUAAUGAGACUGAGCCUGUGACUAGCCACUGCACUUCCACCUGGGCAUCAAACCAAGACACCAUCACUU